This 299-nucleotide ribosomal RNA is filed under the name uncultured Bhargavaea sp. Its description in RNAcentral is "partial 16S ribosomal RNA". The stretch from base 51 to 299 matches the Rfam family "Bacterial small subunit ribosomal RNA", at positions 547 to 795 of the family's 1533-position model. The record is from RNAcentral. Lineage: Bacteria; Bacillati; Bacillota; Bacilli; Caryophanales; Caryophanaceae.
CACAUCGGGGACAAGUAGCGGCGUUAAUCAGGGGGGGGGGAGCUGUAAUAGGAAUGCGUUGGCGUAAGGGGACCGUAGGUUGCGUGGGAAUGCGGAUGUGAAAGCCCCGGGCGCAACCUGGGAACGGCAGUCGAUACGGCGGAGCGAUAGUACGAAAGAGGGGGGUGGAAUUCCAGGUGUAGCGGUGAAAUGCGUAGAGAUCUGGAGGAACACCGGUGGCGAAGGCGGCCCCCUGGUUCGAUACUGACGCUGAGGUGCGAAAGCGUGGGGAGCAAACAGGAUUAGAUACCCGUGUAGUC